GGAAGACCAGCAUGGCCCUGGACAGAACCAGGCAAGGCUCGGCCCUGAGAUGGUGAGUUCUCUGCUAGUAACUCCAGCAGGAAGAGGGACUGAGUCCCAGAGCUGAGAAUGUGGGUUCCAGUCGUUUCUGGGUAGUGGACACAUCCACAGGCCAUCCACC
RNAcentral lists this long non-coding RNA (160 nucleotides) under Ictidomys tridecemlineatus (thirteen-lined ground squirrel). RNAcentral's name for it is "lncRNA (ENSSTOG00000033030.1)". Lineage: Eukaryota; Metazoa; Chordata; Mammalia; Rodentia; Sciuridae. The record is from RNAcentral.